This is a long non-coding RNA of Osmia lignaria (orchard mason bee), 477 nucleotides long. RefSeq lists it as uncharacterized. The record is from RefSeq and is a predicted model, not a curated record. Lineage: Eukaryota; Metazoa; Arthropoda; Insecta; Hymenoptera; Megachilidae.
GUGCGUCAAUUUGUGACGCAGUGCAGCAUUUCUCAUCGAAACUUCAUCCGUUAUACACGUGUCUGCAACAGGGUGCAAUGUGCGGAGUGUGGUGGCGUGCAACAGUCGUCUCGAAGCUUCGUCCGUUUGGCACGUGUCUGCAACAGGUACCGGCCGAUAGCAAAAAAUACCGAACAUUGCCGAGUGUUGCCGAAGUGCCGACCGGUCUACGAUGGGAAGGAAGGUCUCGUCAUUGCUCUCUCGAGCGUCGAACUGAGAAGACGUGUUUGGGUCGUGCUCCCGCAUAAGCAAUACAAAAAUAUUUAUUUGAUUUCAAAAAGGCGCCAUGGGAUACGACGCCAUUGAUAUUGGUUCGAAAUGUAAUUUUGUAAAGGGUAUAUAAUAUAAUUGGUAACGUUUUAAUUUAUUAUAAUCAAUUAUUAAUGCUUUUUUUGAAUCGUUGUUAAGUGUAAGCAUGUUUGAUAAUUAAUUGGUAUC